GACGAGUGGCGGACGAGUGAGUAACGCGUAGGAAUCUGCCUAAUCGUGGGGGACAACCUGGGGAAACCCAGGCUAAUACCGCAUACGCUCUUGAGGGGAGACUCUUAGGAGGAAAGCGGGCCUCUGAAUAUGCUCGCGCGAUUAGAUGAGCCUGCGUCGGAUUAGCUAGUUGGUGGGGUAAAGGCUCACCAAGGCGACGAUCCGUAGCUGGUCUGAGAGGAUGAUCAGCCACACUGGGACUGAGACACGGCCCAGACUCCUACGGGAGGCAGCAGUGGGGAAUAUUGGACAAUGGGGGCAACCCUGAUCCAGCAAUACCGCGUGGGUGAAGAAGGCCUGCGGGUUGUAAAGCCCUUUCAGUGGGGAGGAAAGCCUCGGGGUAAAUAGCCUCGGGGGGUGACGUUACCCACA
Molecule: ribosomal RNA, 411 nt
Filed under: uncultured bacterium
Lineage: Bacteria
Description: bacterial SSU rRNA
Rfam family: Bacterial small subunit ribosomal RNA
Source: RNAcentral